AUUCGAUGCACCCGGAGGAACGGAAGGCAGGAUUGCAGCUUCCUCAGUGCAACCUCCAAACAGGAAAUCUGAGAUGUAUAACAUCUUAUAGUUUGGCUUGUCAACGUUGGUCAUGCGGUGGCCCCAAAAUAAACUCCCUGCUUCAAAGGAGAGCGUUUCAGAACUGCCUGGCAGAGCAGCCAGAAGCUUGGGGCCAGGGCAGAAGGAAAACUCGGGGAGCAUGUUCUGAAUUAAGACACUUUCAAGAAAAUCCUUUGUAUUACCCUGAAUUGUACCCUUGUUUCAGAGCCUAACAGGGUUUUCUGAUUUGCUGUUCCCUCCUCCCCACUGGGUGUCUGUUCUGGAGGCGCUGCUGAGCGCGCGCUUCGACGUGAACACGCCGCUGGCGCCCGAGCGCGCGCGCCUCUACGAAGACCGGCGCAGCUCCGCGCUGUACUUCGCGGUGGUCAACAACAACGUGUACGCCACCGAGCUGCUGCUGGAACACGGCGCCGACCCCAACCGCGACGUCAUCAGCCCCUUGCUCGUGGCCAUCCGCCACGGCUGCCUGCGCACAAUGCAGCUGCUGCUGGACCACG
Molecule: small RNA, 578 nt
Filed under: Pan troglodytes (chimpanzee)
Lineage: Eukaryota; Metazoa; Chordata; Mammalia; Primates; Hominidae
Description: processed transcript
Source: RNAcentral